AACGGGUGAGUAACACGUGAGUAACCUGCCCUUGACUCUGGGAUAACUCCGGGAAACCGGGGCUAAUACCGGAUACGAGACGCGACCGCAUGGUCGGCGUCUGGAAAGUUUUUCGGUCAAGGAUGGACUCGCGGCCUAUCAGCUUGUUGGUGAGGUAAUGGCUCACCAAGGCGUCGACGGGUAGCCGGCCUGAGAGGGCGACCGGCCACACUGGGACUGAGACACGGCCCAGACUCCUACGGGAGGCAGCAGUGGGGAAUAUUGCACAAUGGGCGAAAGCCUGAUGCAGCGACGCCGCGUGAGGGAUGAAGGCCUUCGGGUUGUAAACCUCUUUCAGUAGGGAAGAAGCGAAAGUGACGGUACCUGCAGAAGAAGCGCCGGCUAACUACGUGCCAGCAGCCGCGGUAAUACGUAGGGCGCAAGCGUUGUCCGGAAUUAUUGGGCGUAAAGAGCUCGUAGGCGGUUUGUCGCGUCUGGUGUGAAAACUCAAGGCUCAACCUUGAGCUUGCAUCGGGUACGGGCAGACUAGAGUGUGGUAGGGGUGACUGGAAUUCCUGGUGUAGCGGUGGAAUGCGCAGAUAUCAGGAGGAACACCGAUGGCGAAGGCAGGUCACUGGGCCACUACUGACGCUGAGGAGCGAAAGCAUGGGGAGCGAACAGGAUUAGAUACCCUGGUAGUCCAUGCCGUAAACGUUGGGCACUAGGUGUGGGGCUCAUUCCACGAGUUCCGCGCCGCAGCUAACGCAUUAA
Molecule: ribosomal RNA, 750 nt
Filed under: Sanguibacter inulinus
Lineage: Bacteria; Bacillati; Actinomycetota; Actinomycetes; Micrococcales; Sanguibacteraceae
Description: bacterial SSU rRNA
Rfam family: Bacterial small subunit ribosomal RNA
Source: RNAcentral